RNAcentral lists this ribosomal RNA (266 nucleotides) under uncultured bacterium. Its description in RNAcentral is "partial 16S ribosomal RNA". It matches the Rfam family "Bacterial small subunit ribosomal RNA", at positions 335 to 618 of the family's 1533-position model. The record is from RNAcentral.
CGUCCUACGGGACGCAGCAGUGGGGAAUAUUGCACAAUGGGGGAAACCCUGAUGCAGCGACGCCGCGUGAAGGAUGAAGUAUUUCGGUAUGUAAACUUCUAUCAGCAGGGAAGAAAAUGACGGUACCUGACUAAGAAGCCCCGGCUAACUACGUGCCAGCAGCCGCGGUAAUACGUAGGGGGCAAGCGUUAUCCGGAUUUACUGGGUGUAAAUGGAGCGUAGACGGAAUGGCAAGUCUGAUGUGAAAACCCGGGGCUCAACCCCGG